Myripristis murdjan (pinecone soldierfish) is the source of this 5244-nucleotide long non-coding RNA. RefSeq lists it as uncharacterized. Lineage: Eukaryota; Metazoa; Chordata; Actinopteri; Holocentriformes; Holocentridae. The transcript has 2 exons. The record is from RefSeq and is a predicted model, not a curated record.
ACACACACACACACACACACAGAUAUAUAUAUAAGCAGGAGAACGCAAAGUUUUGUGAAAGAACAUGGCAGUAACUGCAAAAGAUGAGAAAGGCCAUUUUGUUUUAACAGCUCAGACCUGAUGACACAGCACAACACCAGGCUCAUUUUGAUUUUAAAAUAACAGACUGAUUUUUGUGGAUUCAAGCUGGGUCUCCUUCACUUUCUUGUAAAAGGAAGAACAGCUACCAGCCAUCAAUCUGACACAAUCACAAAUCAGUGUUGGCUCUCUGCUUGCUAGUUUUGGGAGCAAAUCAUUUUCAUUCAGUAGCACCAGCUGGGCUCUGUUGGCAGGAAUAGCAUAUGAAUUCUUGGUAUGGUAUUUUAUUUUAAAAGACCACACCAGCAGCAGAUUUAGCCUAAUAUCUAUAAAAUAUAUAAAUCUUUUACCAAAGCAAGCAGUCGCAUUUUUGAAUUCCGAUAUUUUUCUACCUUUCAUCUGGAUGUUUCCAUUCAUUAUACAACGCUAUGAAAAUGAACUUUCAGAGACUUCAAACCUUCUUCACACCAGUAUUCCAUCACUGGAAUAAAGCAGCAUUGUUGCAUUUUGACGACUUGAAAUUGGGUAGAGUGAAAUGGUUUCUCUGAGCACUGUUUUCUCUGCUGGAAAGUGCUCCCUAGGGAGUACUCCCUGCUUUACACUGCAAAUGUUGAAUUAUUUGGUUUAUGACUGGUGACUACUUUGUUAGUUGCAGAAGUAAAACAUUAUAAGGUGGGUGUUUCAGCCAAAAAUUUUAAUUGUAUGUUGUGAAGUGGUGAAAACAGUACUAGAAAUUGCUAUUCAGGUGGAAGUGCUGUUACUUAGCUGAUAUUUUACUUAAAUAGAAUGAUGAAACCUUCUUUAAGAGUACAAAAUUCAUUCUAGAUUAUUUUUAAUCUAAUUUUGAAAUUACAAAGAGAAGGUCCAUCAGAGGAAAGCCAGAUUCCUCUUGUCAAGUCUGCUGACUUACACUGGCAGGGUCCAUAGUUUGUCAAUUUAUGAUGAUCAAGUCUGAAUAUAUCUUGAGAGCCCUGAAUAUAUGGAGAGAGCCAAUCAAAUUUGCACUCUAAUGGAUUGGAUUUUAUUUGCAGCCAAAUGCAGCACUUAGGGAAAAAUGUACUUAAGUAUAAGAGUAAAUCUAAUUAGUUACUUUGACUCCUGAUGGUGUGAAAUGUAUAGUACUUUACAUGAUUUGCAAAAUAGUUUGUUGGGAUGUAAAAUGUGGGGAAAUUUUAGUCAAUGGGCCAAACUUUCAAAAUUACUGGUGUGGUCUUUUAAGGACCUAAGCUGGUCUCUUACAUUGUGGUAUUACUUUUUCAGCUUUGAUCAGCCAAAUACAGCAACCUGGCAAACAUCACUGGUUUGGUUUGCUGCGGUGUUAGCCUCAGCAUGCAAUGUAUUUCCAUUGGAUGCCUUUUUAAAUUUUAAGGGGGACACAAUAAAUUGCUACUUAUGUUAGCCCAGUCCAACGGUUAUCCAUGGUUAGACAUGAAUGACUGAGACCUUUUAACAGUGAAUGCACUACAUGUUUUUUCAGAAGUAAAAUGGUACUUCCUCAUUCUCAUUUUAUGUACAACGUGCCCUAAGAUGCAAGAACAAGUAAAAGAGCUUUUCUAUGCCUUAACUUAGAGACUUUAAAAUACUUAAGUUAUAUUUCACUGAAGCAGAACAUUUUCUUGUGAGCUCCCAGAUCUGUGUGGUUCAACAGUCACCCUUUUGUCAUGGACACACUGACUAAAGACAUAUUUAUGAAUGAUAUAUUUAUCAAUCCAAUUCAUCCUGACACAGAGGGAAUGAUCAGUCUGGGUCCACAGAGCAGCCAGUGUGUAUCCAUUAAUGAAGUCCGCCGAAAAAUGAAGAUGCUUUUGCUUCAUGUUUUUACAAAACACUUUUUCUGUGGCCUUGAUUCAGAGUUGAUUUAUGCUGUUCAGUCAUUCUGAAUACAAAAUAUGCUGAAAAAACAUCAACUCCCAGAUAUUUCAUACUCUUAAUAAAUGAAGGGUUCUCAUUUGCAGCCUGAACAGCUGUUAUAUUAAAUGCUUUGUCUUUAAAAUAUUUAUACAUGUUUUAAGGAAUAUUUUUUGAAGGGGAAAUAUUAAUAUUCAGAAAAAGUGAUGAAAAUUCUGAUUUCCUGAUUUUUUUUAUUUUUUUUUUUUUAGUUUUUAGCCUCAGUAAGUUCACAUAGACAGUGACCAAAAAUAAGUUCCGAGUUUGUUAUUCAUGGGGCAGUUUCCCAGAUGUGGAAAAUGCCCUAAAAAUAAGUACCACUACUGUACUUCACUUUCUGGGUCAUGGAUUGAAAUAGUCUUAGAUUUAUCUUAAUCUGAAUUUCAGUGAUCUGAUUUCCAGGUCAAAGAUUAUCCUGAAGUAAAUGAAGGUUUAAAUUAAACCUCAGAGGAAGCAGGUUUAACUUCAGAUUACUGCUGUUUCUCAAAGAAGAAACAGUGGCCAUACAGUUUCUCCUCCAAAUCAACACAGUUUUUUCUAGAUCCACUCCAGGAUUUAUGAGCACCAUCAGGUAUUGAAUUUAAAGUAAUAUUCCACAACAAAUAAAUGUCCAUUUUGAUACUCCUUGUCGUUUGACUCUACUAGUAAUGCGACCUAUAGCCAGUUUAUUAAACUUCAGCUUUUGCCAUUCUGAAGUCCAGUGAGGGUUUUAUUUAUUUAACAAUUUAUUUAUUUAUUAAUUAUGAUGAUGAUGAUGAUGAUGAUGAUGAUAAUGAUGAUUUUUUAAUUUCCUAGAAAAAUAGUGCAUUUUAAAAUAUUUUGUGUUUAUGGAAGCAACAAAAGUAGGGCUGUUUAAUAAAUGUGAGACAGUAAAAGAAAUAUAAUUGACAACUGUCUGCAUUGAGACAAAUCUGAAGUUAAGAUUUGUUUUUGGAAAGCCAAUGUCAAGGCCAUAAUUAACUACUCCAGGUUAAGGUCUUUUCUUAUCUUAACUAAAUCCCAAUCUGGGAAAGCACCCCUAUAUUUAGACUGAUAAGCAAUUUUAUUGCAGCUGGUAAUUUCCUGCUUCCAAAUGAAUUUUGUACUUUGCCCGCAGUAUUUCUGUCAUUUACAAGAGUGUUUUUCAACCUUUUAUGAGCCAUGACACAUUGGCUCACAUACAGUAUAAAUAUGACAAUUUAGUUUCUCCUUUUGUUUAUACUCACUCAGUGUGAGCAUGUCCACUAAGUCAGUAGACUCAUCAAGUUGCAUUGCAAAUUUCCCACUGAUGCAUAUCUUUUCGAAAACAAAACUUUCGAUAUCUGCAGACAUGUCAUCAGUAUGUCUGACGUUUGUGUUAUCUGAGAGAGGGACUGUGGCUACUUCUUCAACCACGUCAGGGCCAAGUAUCUCGUUCACACUGGCUUUGGAGGCAGGUUGUAUAUAUGUCUCUGCCAUAGUGUAUAGCUUUUUUGAUUUGGCUAUGAGUUCAGCUACUAAGUAGCUAGCUUUGAGAGCAUUGAAACACAAGAUCCCCUUGUGUUUUUUUCUCAUUAACAUUAACUUGUUUCUCAGUGUGUUCACGCAGGCGAACAAAAUAGUCUGUGUUCUUGAUUUGAAGUGAUGGCUGCUUCGUUUGGAGUUGGUGUUUAAACUUGCUUGGGACCACGCCAUUGUUGGAUAGCUUUUCCCUACACACCAAACAUAACAGAGUCGGCACAGUCGGAUCUCAGAUGAAAGUAAAUCUAAAUGAAAGAUAACUUUCGCUGUAUUGCCUCGAGCUCACCAUUUUUGCUUUCUUUUGACCACCACUCAUACUAGGCUCUUCAUCUGGAUUAUUAUUUUGUCCAAGACCCAGUUCGGAGUCUGCAUUCAUCCUUUUCAAAUACUUAUCCAUUGCUGUUGUACGUCUUGUCACCACCACCUCUCGUGCCAUCACUAAUACUAUUGUCUUAAAUUAACAAGGUUAUUAUUGCACAACCUACUGCCACUCAUUGACAUGGAAGAAUAUUUAAUUACUCUGCCAGUCACUACAUAGCAGGCACAGAUGUUCAAGAAUGGCAAAUUAUUUAUGGUAAUUAAAUAUUUUUUUGGACCAAUUAAGUGAAAUUGGAUCAUUUCCCACUGCACACUUAACAAUCUCUCACGGCACACUAAUGUGCUGCGGCACAGUGGUUGAAAAUCAUGGAGUUACAAAGGGACAUAGCCUGUGUCACUGCAGGAUAGUAUAAGGAGGUUACAUUAGUUUAGUGUUCUGUGGCAUCCCAGAAACAAAAGGGAGACGCAAAGCUCCGUCAUAUUUAAUGACUUGUAGCUCACAGAAAGUCAUCGAAGAAUUAUUCAAAAUGAACAAAGUGGCCAAAUAGCUCAAAGUUGUGUGAAAGUGACGUCUCAUAUAGUGUGUGGUCAUAUGUUUGCUGCAGGUACAGCAUGUUGUUAAAAACAGUAAUAUGUUAACAACACGCUAAGAACAUGCGAACAUGUUGACAUGGCUGUCUUGAUCAAAGUGUUGGUUUCAUGUGUUUUUGACCUGUCUGGGCUACCAUAUAUGUGAUGCUGCAUAAUGCCAACACAUUACUGCUAGAUUUGAACGGCCAUGAAAAUGGGAUGUCAGCAGCCAGAAACUCAGUGUGAGCUGAGGAAAAAAGUUGAAUAUGCAAACUUAGCCAAGCUUUGGGCUGAGUUUUUAGGAUCUCACUAAUAUCUGCAAGAUAUUUUAUCAGGUUUAGUUUUUUCCAGGUGAUUUCAAUGACUGGAAAAUUAGUUCAUAAAUUUCCAGGUUUUCCCAUUCCUGAAUAAGCAGCAAUGGACAUGAUGUGCCACUGAAACCACCAUAUAAUGUUAACUAGUGGAAACACCAAUAAAGUCACGCAAGGAGUUGCUUUCUCACUGUGUGAAGUAGAGUAUGUUCAAUUCUUGUUUAGAAAACCCAAUUGUUUUAUUGUUUUGAAAUGACCUUGGUGAAACUUUGAAAAUGUUUGACCGUGUGAUCCAAGUCAGUUAAUCUACUUGAAUAAUUGUGAUUUCUAAUUUGUGAAUACAAUAAGACAACAACACCUUCCAUCCAGCAGUCAACACUAACUACUUUCCAUGGUGAUGAUCUUAACUCUGGAUCAAGGCCUUUAAAUUAUUGUCAUUUGUAUGCAAAAAGGAAGAAAUAUGCUGCCACUGGGUUGAUGAAAACAUGGACUAGUACUGAUGUCAGCAUUAUAACUAACUGAUAACUUACGAAUUGUCAUCUUAUAACAGCCAGUGUUCCCUUUUCUUUAAUUGUAUGAUCUAUUAAAAUAUUUUAACUGA